UUUGACAAUUCUUUUCCCUUUCUACCCUCCUCUCCCUUCAACAUCACAGUCCAUUACACAACCCUGCGAUUACACAACCUCUCUCUUCAUGAAUUAGCAAUUAAUAUCAUUAAUCUGCCAUUUGAAUGCAGAAUUCGACGUUCCCAAUCCCCCAACCGACGAAUCACAAACGUUCCCGUUUGCCGUUCCCACCUUCCAAUUAAAGAGAGGUAAACCCUAGCAACCAGAUCCCCCAUUCCAAAACCUGCAAUCGCUACAACAUAACCGAAGCUACUUUCUGUCCAGAAAUCUCCAAUCUGAGAAAAAAAAAACUUGAAAUUCAUUCAUGGCAAUGGCGAAAUACGAUCUGACACCUCGAAUUGCUCCAAAUCUGGACCGGCAUCUCGUGUUUCCGCUGCUCGAAUUCACUCGGGAGCGUGAACUAUACCCGAACGAUCAGAUUCUCAAAGCGAAGAUCGAGCUUUUGAACAACACUAAUAUGGUUGAUUACGCUAUGGAUAUUCACAAAGUCUCUGUACCACACGGAUUAUGUUCCUCAAGCAACUAAAAGAUGUUCAUAACCUUAGAGAUCUUGCUGGUAGUGAACGCCUUUUUCAAGAGCGGGUCAACCGGGGAUCGGCUAAAAGAAACUCAGGAGUUUGUCAUCACGAAGUGAUGACAUAUUUGACAUAGCAAAGAAGGAAGAGCACAUACCUUAUGAAAACUCAAAGGUCACAUACUUCAGCCCUGCUUAGGUGGCGAUUCAAAGAUGUUAAUGGUGGUCAACGUUUCUACAGCACCAUCUUUGGUCAACGAGUCAGUUCAUUGACCACCUGAUUGCUUGAUACGUAUCAUGUUUCGCACCAUUCAUCCAGAUUACUUUCCACCCGAAGUCGUAACAUAUGAGCAAUGGGCACUGUCAACACCGGAGAAAAAGAGCAUAUUGGGCUGGAUCCAAAACACUUUUUGUCAGAAAUUAUGUGUUUUAAAAGCAACUAUUCUGCCAAAUAUGAUCUUCAAGAAUAUAUUAUCUCAAUACAGAUUUAAUCUUUUAUAAAAACCAAAGUAUUUUAGUGAGGUUUAUGCACUAAACACACUUGUUGCCGACUUCUAACCCAUUCAACAUGUUUUUUGGUUAAGCAUACCAUCUCUGGUAAUGUUUUAUUUAGUUACUCUUUUGUGGUACUUUCCAUUGUAGAAGUUUCUUGUCUUGUAUUUAUAAUAUAUUCAAUGCAGGUUGGAGCUAAACAUCAACAAGCAUUUAUUAGGAGAAUUUGUAGAAUUCAAAGGGAAGAAUGAUGAUAUCCCGUCCUUAAGAAACAUAAAGAGGUCGAAAGUUAGCCGUGUGAUGAUCCAAAAAAUAAGCAUGUUUGGUUUAGUGAACGCUGCUGGGAAGCAUGAACAAGCGUUCGAGCUUGCCGGAGGAUUCGCUCUGUCGAAGUACUUUGAUGACAACAGUCUUUUUAAAAGCACUGGGACUGUCUGGACUAUAAGUGCAGUAGUGCACAUACCAUAACUGUAGCCAUCGGCUCCGGCAGGUUGUCACUGGCGUGUGCCAUUGCACGGCUGGGUUGGAUCGCUGGACUGAAGGUUCGGUUUCUGUUUUCAUUUGUAGAUGAAACUAUACUUAUAUGAAAGUUGUUCAAAACAAUCUUGGUACUUGCUUCUUAAAAUUCCAUCUUAUUUAUAAAAACCGAUUGUUCAAACAUUUGAUAACUAACUUAUUUGGCUCGCAUACAAACCAAGUGGAGCUAGGGUGGGCUCGGAGUAUAGUAUGUUUACAAACCAAGUCGAGCUUGGUUAUUUAUCUUUAUAAGUUAUAUUCUUUUAAAUAUACUGAUAUAUAAAACAAAAAGAAAAAUAUUUUCAACAAAUAUAUGAUGUAAAAUUUGCGUCUUAAUUUAGGUUAUAAUCUAUACGUAUUAAAAAUUUGGGCUUCAAUCUAAACGUUGGAACGAGCGGGCCAAAGAGUGAACUUAAGUUGUCUCGUGUUCGACCCAACUCUUUUACAAAUUAUGUCUACCCGGUUUUGAGAGUCCUGAGACUGGGCCUCAAGCUGUUUAGAUAGCCCUAAGCAAAUUCAAUACACCCAGAGCGAAUCAAUGUCCAAUUAUAAAAUAUUUUAAAACUUUUCAGGUGGUUUCAAGUUAAACUUGGUGGAAUUGUCCAGUACGCCAAUCUUAUUGGAGUGGCAAUCGGGUACACCAUUGCAGCAUCCAUCAACAUGAUUGAUUGAAGGAUAUUGCUACAAGAGUUGGUGUUCAUGAGAUUGAUUUUAUGGAACACACCUCACCUGCAUUAAAGGGUAAAGACAAAGAACCCGAUAUAUAUGCAGUCUUAUACUCUUUCUAUAGAAGCCCUCCAAAAGACGGUGCAAGGUUGGUAACAACUACAAAGAACAAGUUGAGGUGGAAAUUUCAGCCCAAUUCACCAAAAAUGGGUCCAUUCAACUUAUAUUUUUCAAAUGUUGCUCUGUAUUAACUUGUACAUCAUGUUUUAAGUGGUGUAUUUGUUUCAUUGACGAAUCUAUUGUUUUAUUCUUUUUUAAAAAUAAGGUAUUGUAGAUGGUAGUGCUGGUGGUAAGUUGGUGAUAUGUUCAUGUCUCGCAUUAUUGACUCCGCCGCAACGCGCGGGUC
Helianthus annuus (common sunflower) is the source of this 2615-nucleotide long non-coding RNA. RefSeq lists it as uncharacterized. Lineage: Eukaryota; Viridiplantae; Streptophyta; Magnoliopsida; Asterales; Asteraceae. The transcript has 8 exons. The record is from RefSeq and is a predicted model, not a curated record.